RNAcentral lists this ribosomal RNA (395 nucleotides) under Natator depressus (flatback sea turtle). RNAcentral describes it as "partial 12S ribosomal RNA". It matches the Rfam family "Bacterial small subunit ribosomal RNA", at positions 794 to 1384 of the family's 1533-position model. Lineage: Eukaryota; Metazoa; Chordata; Testudines; Cheloniidae. The record is from RNAcentral.
GCUUAGCCCUAAACUUAGAUAUUUCAUAUACAAAAAUAUUCGCCAGAGAACUACGAGCAAAACGCUUAAAACUCUAAGGACUUGGCGGUACCUCAAACCCCCCUAGAGGAGCCUGUUCUAUAAUCGAUAAUCCACGAUCUACCUCACCAUCUCUUGCCAAGCCCGCUUAUAUACCACCGUCACCAGCCUACCCCAUGAGGGUUACAAAAGUAAGCAAAAUAACCUAAACAAUUAACAAGUCAGGUCAAGGUGUAGCUAAUUGAGAUGGAAGAAAUGGGCUACAUUUUCUACUUUAGAAAUAAUCACGGAAGGAGACCAUGAAAUAGGUCCCACAAGCAGGAUUUAGCAGUAAACUGGAAGCAGAGAGUCCAAUUUAAGCCGGUCCUGAGGUGCGC